Molecule: ribosomal RNA, 339 nt
Filed under: uncultured bacterium
Lineage: Bacteria
Description: bacterial SSU rRNA
Rfam family: Bacterial small subunit ribosomal RNA
Source: RNAcentral
AGCGAACGCUGGCGGCAGGCUUAACACAUGCAAGUCGAACGGGCGUAGCAAUACGUCAGUGGCAGACGGGUGAGUAACGCGUGGGAACGUACCUUUUGGUUCGGAACAACCCAGGGAAACUUGGGCUAAUACCGGAUAAGCCCUUACGGGGAAAGAUUUAUCGCCGAAAGAUCGGCCCGCGUCUGAUUAGCUAGUUGGUGAGGUAACGGCUCACCAAGGCAACGAUCAGUAGCUGGUCUGAGAGGAUGAUCAGCCACAUUGGGACUGAGACACGGCCCAAACUCCUACGGGAGGCAGCAGUGGGGAAUAUUGGACAAUGGGCGCAAGCCUGAUCCAGCC